GGAAAAAUUUUGCCUUGUGCUAUUUCUUAUCCAACACACUCGUCAUGUGCUGGUUAGGUGAAAUACUGAACUGAAAAUUCUCACACAAACAACUAAUCUCUUGUGCCCUGACGUACAUCAAGUCUAAACAUCUGAUGUUCCAUUUGACUGACUAAUAAUUUAUGAUAUAUGUUUGUCUUUUACACCCGGACUCUGGCUCCAUCCUAUCUGACUCCCCACCAGACCCAAGGCUGGUAAAGCCAAUGCAUCUUGUCUUGGAAGCUCGGUGUUCCUUCCUUUGGAUAACAAGACAUGACGAUGCAGAAGUGAGAAAGCAAACAUUCUCACUCACAGCGAGAUAAAGUGGCACAAACAAUUCCAUUGCUGCAGAGAGACAUUCCACCAGAGCCAGAGAAAGGGGUUAAAAAGCAGAAGCAACUUGAGGAUCGUGGGCUCUUUGCAUCACACCUUCGUGGUGUGUGCACUGAUCUCCCCAGCUGGUUUUUGGUUUUUUGAUGUGCACGAUCAACAUCCAUGCUUUUUAUUUGCUUUCCCCAUUAUUUUUAUUUUCUUUAUUAUUUCAAUAAAUCGCACAAAAAGGACAACUCUCUCAUCUGCUUCUUUAUGGAAAAUUUCCACCACAGAAAUUGGCGUCUACGAACAGGAUCCGCUGCAGGUCGUCUGGACGGUGUGACCAGGGACGAUAGUCCUGAGGACUAGGGCCGCUCAGCCUCCAAACCUCUACAGCUGUUCUGAGUGGGAGGACUGCUCACCCGUCUGGAUCGCCUCUGACGAGAUCCAACGAACUCAAAAUCCAACCUCUACUCGGCCCGGUGAGAGAGAUUCUGUUUUGUUGCGACUUAUCGAGGAAAAAAAAAAAUAGAAAACGGGUUUGAAAUUGGUUUCAGGUAUUCGGGGUUUACUUGGCUCUGAUCAUUUGGUUUAGGGAAAGUAAGGCAAAUAACAAUAUAUUCUAAAGCAUCCCCAACUAGACUAAAACAUAAAAGAAAACAUAAUUAGGACUAGAGAUGAUAAUAUUUCUAAAACGACUAUUUGGCUGAAAACAUCCAAAAUAUAAUAUUAGGGAAAAAAAUUAUUAUUUUAAAAUUUAAUAUUCGGGUAAAAUUAAUUAGGUCAAAGUCUGCCCUGGUGGCCGAGACGGUGGUUGCUAAGGGUUGGCUCGUGGAACGGGCUUGUUUUUGUCUGUACUGAGGAUACAGACCAGUGUGCAGAUCUGAGCGCAGUCCAAAGGGAGUGGACAAGAAAUAAAAGACGGCUUCUGUAAGACGGAGCGCGUUUGCAGGGGGAAGUGGUUUUGAGAUACGAGGGACCCGGGUCUUAGAGGGGCCUGACGGUGAGGGAGCACUUCCGAGAACUCUGUCGCUGAUCUGAGCGGUUCCCUUUCUACGGAGACGUCCGUGGAAGAGAAAUUUCGAAAAAAGGUUCCGGCCGGAACACAAAAAAGUCUAAGGCAGGAAACCGCCGGGACUCUGAAAGAUGGGUUCGGGGCGAUCUAAGUCUCCACCACCAGACUGGAACAUUGCAAAAUUAAACGUAAUUAAAGUAAAAAGUUAUUAUGGUUAUUAGUGCGUUUCAUGUUUCCAAGAGUGGGAAACUGGUUAUGGGUUCAAAAGAAGAAUCGCUUAGUGUAAAAGGACAUACGCACCUUAAAAGAAAAAUUAGAGACAAAAGAAAAGAUCUGAAAAACCAAAACUAUCAAAACUAAACUCCUGAAAGAAACAAAAGAGUGAGGAGAGUAACAGAAAAAAAAGGAGAUAACAACUCUGGGGAAGAAUUGUUUGCACUCUGCCACACACACACACAGCACAAACACACACAUCAUGUCAAGAGCAAAUGCUCCCAUUCUUUCUGCUCUCUAUUCUAAUGCAGAACUGAGUGCGAUGAGGGUAAAUCCGGAUCUGGACUCCUUUCCCACCAUCAGCAGAAGAAUGGAAGGAGAAGAAGCGCCAACCAACAACCAGAACAGGGUGGAAGCUCUGACACCACAGCAGCUGGAGGACACAGACCACAGCAUGGACGCCUCACAGACUCCCACAACGUCUGCAGCCAUCACGUUCUGGGCUCAUCAGAUGAACCAGCUACUACAAGCCCUGCACCAGCAUGAAAGGACUGUGUCUGAAGCUUCUGAAGCCGUGAAAGUGUCAUACACGCGUGUGUGUCUGACACAGACACCUGCUUAUGACAAUCAGCAAAGGAAAACAAGGACAGAGCAACAGCAGAGAAGACGUGCUCUGACACAGACACUGGUUCAAACAACAGGAGAGGCUUCAGACGUGAUCGGCCCAAUAGAGCUGCAUGCGAGAAUCCAGGAAACGUCUGUCAUCGAGGAACAACUGUCCCAUUGAAAGGCUUCACCCACUGGCGCUCACAUCAGACUGAUGGUUGGGGAAGGAGGAAGGUGACGGUUCCUUUUCACGUGACGUACAAGACGUUCCACACGUCCCUCUGUGAAAACAUGAUGGAGACAGAUGACAGGACGUGGGUCCUUUCGUGAACAGAUGUGAACGGGGUGGAGACUGGUGAACGACUUCUGACCCCAUGUGAUGUAUUCACCUACUUUGCAUACUUUAGAAAACUUUUUUUUAUUCUGCCUGUCAUGUGCAGCAAACAGUGAACUGGGUACCUCCACAUUCUAAUGACACACAUUACACGCUUUUGUUUUUAUUUUUAUUUUUGAGGACGCUCUGACCCAACACUCAGCCUCACAGGAAGCUCCUGCUUCCCUGUGGCUCACACACAGACAUGAUGUAGGUUUGAUCAGAGGAUGUGAACCAGUGGUCAUCACACCUAAAUCUGACCACAGACCAUGUAAACAACAACACCCUCUUAAAGGAGCCAUAGAUGGCGUUACUGCAGACACCACUAAGAUACUGAAACAUUGGAUGCUGCAGGCCACAAAGAGAGCCUGUCUAAAUUACACUUUGUUCAGACUAAGGUUAUUUUCUGGGUCAUUGUAAUUACAGCUGAUGGCAAAUCCAUCUCACCCACCAGAGUUGAAGCAUUUUUAAACCUGCCUAAACCGUGCACGUAUAAACAGCUUAUGUCUUUUCUAGGUCUUUGUUCUUAUUGUAGGACUUUCGUUCCUAACUUUACCUUCUCUGAGGCCCCACUCAGGGUUCUGAUGCAGACGUCUUCAUCGUCCACUUCUUGUCUCACGUGGACGUCUGAGGCUGAACAACGUUCACUGACCUCAUGCUUGCUCUUCAGUCGACUCCUACUUUGGGUCUUCCUGAUCUGACCCUACGCGACCUUUCACUCAAACAGUGGAUGAGAAAUCAGGUUGUACGACUUCUGUUCUUUUGUCCUCAUACUGUUUUUGAUUCUUUUGGAAUAGAUCACAUCUUUCUACAGCCAGAUGGCUUAGAUACAACACCAUCUUGCUCAACAUGCUGAACAUUACUAUCAAGAGUCCGUCUUGAAGUCUGGCUCUUUGCUAAGACACUACUCUGCUCAGGCUGCAGAGUUGAUCGUAUUGACUGAAGCUGGUAAACUAGCAGAAGGAGAGUCUGUUACCAUCUACACAGACUCCACAGACGCUUGUCAUACGUUGGUUCUCUGUGGAAGCAUAGGAAGCUUUUGAAGUCUGAUUGCAAGCCUAUCUCACAUCAUGAUUAGGUUCUGCUUUGCUGGACGCUGUCCUGCUGCCUACAGCUAAUGCUGUUUUUAACCGUCCCACUCACACCCUCAGUGACGACUUUGUUUGUGCCGACAUGCAGCUGCAGACGCUGCUGCGAAGGUCGCUGCCCAACAACCCCUCCCUCUCCUGAUCCUUGUUCCCUCUCCUCGUUUCCUCUCUAUCCUUCCUCCUCUCUCUCCCUGUGCUUUAAACAUUUUCUACCUCACAGGAACGCAGACUCUGGCUGACGAAUGGUUCCACCUGUAGCCAUGGAGUCUGGUUUGGGCCUGAUGGCAGCCGUGCCGCCCAAACAGCUUUUCCCCAUAAUUCAGAUUUCCCAACAGGUGAAAACAGGCGACAGGACCAUUAUACACCAUCCAACCAGGGCACUGGGCGAUCGUUAAAGAGUUCAGGAGGAAGCAUUGAGACUCCAAACAGUGGCGGAGCCCCUUCCAGGUCCUUCUGACGACCCACAUGGCUGUAAAGAUUGCAGAAAGAGCGACUUGGAUCCACUCCAUCCAGGAAGGUCCCGGAUCCGACAGACGACCCUCCAUCUACAUCUACACCACUCGGAGAAUUCACCACUAAAGAAAAGAAUUGAGAAGAACGACCCUCGCUGUGCUCACACACACACUGAGGCGAGGCUGCGUUGACCGUUCAGCUAAAGCUGCGCCGGUGAAUCACACUGUCAGACCAUACAUCUACACACACGCUCUUGAGAAAACACACACAAUAGCAGCCUUGAGUUGCCGACGCUGGACAACGUGUAGACUCUUCACAUCACGGAGUGACAGUGACUCAGACGACAUUGGGAGGAAACCUGGUGGUGAUAACGAAUCCCAAGUGUCUCUGAUCAGCUGAUCACAACCUGAAGAACUCCAACGAACUGUCAAUACAUCAACACACAGGUUGGAAACAAUCUAACGCUACUGUUCAACAGGAAGAAGCAGAUUGUUACGAGACAUCAAUUGUAACCUUGUUUUGUUAAACUUCAUUUUAUGUUACAUGAAUUAUUGCCUUGAUCAUAUGAUGUUUCCAUGUAACUUCGCACACUACUUUUGAAGAAGAAAAUUAUUAUAUCCUGAAGUUGACUUGGUGUUUAAUUUGCUCACAAACAUUUUAUUCACUGCUACAAAAUUUUUUUUAUCCUUCAUCUACAGAUGAAAGACAACACAAGCAGAAAUAUGCAUCAUCAUUCUCUCUAAUCCCUGAUUCUCUUAUUCAUUCUAGACCCAAAUCUACAAUUAAAGAUCCGAAAGCAUGAAAUCUAUUUUAAGAUUAUAUGAAACAGAACCCCAUCGGAAACCUAUGGCUAUCAUACAUUAAUUGUCUUUAUUACAUUACAAUUGAAUGGCCGUAGACACGUUGUUAGCAGAGAAAAGAGGCGCUUGUGUUAUGUUUGGAGACGCAUGUUGUACUUACAUCCUGAAUAACACUGAUUCUAAUGGUAUUGUAGCGAAGGCGCUCCACGGCCUUCAGAAUCUCAGCUAACUCUGGUAUAGGUUCUUUCCCUUGGAAUUGGCUAGAUGAAAUGUCGGGAAAAUGGAAAUCUGUUCUCAUGUCUGCAGCUGUUUCCUUCAUCCUUGUGAUGGCUGUGAUUCUCUUGUUUGGUUUUUGCGUUAUCCCACUGGUUAGAGGUCUCAUCAUGCACGCGACCUCAGCAACACUCUCGUAUCAAAUGACACAAUGCACUAUGUUCAAAAACCCCAACUCUAAUUCACUUAAUGACUUUGACGAUGGUCUUAGGCUAUCUGACCACAAAAUAUAAUCUGAUGCGAACAUGAUUAUGGUCUUAUUUUCUUCACAUGCCAAUACAGAGGUUAUUCUUGUAUAACUAGCCACCAAAAACAGGUCCCAACCUUUUAUCCCUAAGUUACUUGCAUUUUAUGUGAAGGUGUAUUUUUGAAUUUUGACUUAAUACACUUACUGUUUCAUUUGUAAGGAUUGUUACUACAAAAUGCAACGUUUGAAAAUUUUUAUUAUUUUAGUGUUUGAUUAAUGUGUAAUCAAAAGGGGGGAAUGUAAUGGAAAAAUUUUGCCUUGUGCUAUUUCUUAUCCAACACACUCGUCGUGUGCUGGUUAGGUGCAAUACUGAACAUUCUUACACAAACAACUAAUCUCUUGUGCCCUGUCGUACAUCAAGUCUAAACAUCUGAUGUUCCAUUUGACUGACUAAUAAUUUAUGAUAUAUGUUUGUCUUUUACACCCGGACUCUGGCUCCUUCCUAUCUGACUCCCCACCAGACCCAAGGCUGUUAAAGCCAAUGCAUCUUGUCUUGGAAGCUCGGUGUUCCUUCCUUUGGAUAACAAGACAUGACGAUGCAGAAGUGAGAAAGCCAACAUUCUCACUCACGGUGAGAUAAAGUGGCACAAACAAUUCCAUUGCUGCAGAGAGACAUUCCACCAGAGCCAGAGAAAGGGGUUAAAAGGCAGAGACAACUUGAGGAUCGUGGGCUCUUUGCAUCACACCUUCGUGGUGUGUGCACUGAUCUCCCCAGCUGGUUUAUGGUUUGUUGAUGUGCACGAUCAACAUCCAUGCUUUUUAUUUGCUUUCCCCAUUAUUUUUAUUUUCUUUAUUAUUUCAAUAAAUCGCACAAAAAGGACAA
This is a long non-coding RNA of Betta splendens (Siamese fighting fish), 6221 nucleotides long. RefSeq lists it as uncharacterized. Lineage: Eukaryota; Metazoa; Chordata; Actinopteri; Anabantiformes; Osphronemidae. The transcript is spliced from 2 exons. The record is from RefSeq and is a predicted model, not a curated record.